UUGAUACCCAAGCCGCGCCAUUUUGCAUUUAACACUCUCUCAUUUUAUCCGGAAGUUGAAGAAAGAAGUGGACCCCGCACAGAAGUUUAAGAAUAUUCAGUAGUUUUGAAGUGUUUAUUCAUUUUUAAAGUAAUAAAUAUGUCUAGAUAUCGCGAGUGGGAUCUAUCUUGCAAAGUUUACGUUGGUAAUUUGGGAUCGUCGGCUAGCAAACACGAAAUCGAAAGCGCUUUUAGCAAAUAUGGCCCGUUAAGGAACGUUUGGGUCGCCAGAAACCCGCCGGGAUUCGCUUUCGUAGAAUUCGAGGAUCCCCGUGAUGCCGAAGACGCAGUUAGAGGCUUAGACGGAACGAGGAUUUGCAGUGCUAGAGUACGUGUUGAAAUGUCUAAUGGAAGAUCAAGACGUGGUGGAGGUCGCAGGGGUCCACCUAGAUUCUCCAGUUGCAGGGCGGCAUCAACCGCAAUAGUACCGCUGCUGUUGUUUUCUCCCCCCUGAAAGAAAAAAAGCGAACAGGCGAAAAAAUAAAGCGAAAAGUGCGUCUUCACUGAGCCCCACAAUCGAGUCAACUUAAAAAAGUUUAAAAAAUUAUAAAAAAAAGUAAAAUCAACCAAUUCAACCAAUCAAUCAAUCAACCCUUCUUCUCCUGGCAACCACAACCACAUCUCAUCAUCUUUGUUACUACAUCGUCUUCACUCGACAAUUACGAGCAGCGGCGGUUCUUCUGCCCCAUUUUCUUUUUUUUUACAACAACAAAAAAAGGAUUUGGGCAACCCACCAACCACCACCACCACCAACCACCAACUUUCCACCACUACUACUACUACUACUACUACAAUUCAAAUUCAAUUCAACAUGCCACCGAAUAAGAUAAAUCGACUUUCAAAAUUACUACUUCUACUACUACUACUACCGCUACUACAAUUUCGACUUCUGUUUGAAGUACGACGGGUCCAGGUCACCAAGAAGAUCACGAACUCCGAGAUCGAGGAGUCGUAGCAGGGACAGAAGAAGCCGUUCAGAUUCAAGAGAUAGACGUUAGAGAAAUAAUAAUAAAAAAAAAGAUUUUUUUAAGGUC
Onthophagus taurus is the source of this 1072-nucleotide RNA transcript. It is a transcript of the gene named RNA-binding protein 1, with no coding region annotated. NCBI's taxonomy places the organism in Eukaryota, Metazoa, Arthropoda, Insecta, Coleoptera, Scarabaeidae. The record is from RefSeq and is a predicted model, not a curated record.